CCCCCCAACCUGCUAACGUUUCCUCCCCCCCCAACCUGCUAACGUUUCCUCCCCCCAACCUGCUAACGUUUCCUCCCCCCCCAACCUGCUAACGUUUCCUCCCCCCCCAACCUGCUAACGUUAACAGUAAGGUCUAUCUGCAUCAGACAGACAGACAGACAGAACUCACUACAGCCUCUCUUUACAUACUAAGAGAAUAGUUUGAAUGUUAACAUUAUGAAUAUAUAGAUUAUUAUGUGGAUAUUUGCAACAACAAACAAACAAAAAAUAUGUUUUUAAUUUUGAUUUUAUGAUGUGAGCCGUUCUGAAGGCUGUAUGUGUUUUAAAGUUGUAAAUAAUGACAUGUUCUGUUAUUAAUAAUAAUUUAAAAAUGUAAAUGAUCUUUCUUAGGGUUUUUUUUUUUUUCAUGAGAGCUUUAUCUGGGCCUGUCUUUAUGCCCGGGUGAUCCUGGCCUGUCUUUAUGUCCGGGUGAUCCUGGCCUGUCUUUAUGUCCGGGUGAUCCUGGCCUGUCUUUAUGUCCGGGUGGUCCUGGCCUGUCUUUAUGUCCGGGUGAUCCUGGCCUGUCUUUAUGCCCGGGUGAUCCUGGCCUGUCUUUAUGCCCGGGUGAUCCUGGCCUGUCUUUAUGCCCGGGUGAUCCUGGCCUGUCUUUAUGCCCGGGUGAUCCUGGCCUGUCUUUAUGCCCGGGUGUUCCUGGCCUGUCUUUAUGCCCGGGUGAUCCUGGCCUGUCUUUAUGCCCGGGUGAUCCUGGCCUGUCUUUAUGCCCGGGUGAUCCCGGGUGGGGUCGAUCGGUCAUCGAGGUGAUCGACCAACCCCAAAGUGCUGCAUGUUUAAUGACGACAGACACCCGUCUCGAUGGCUUGAACCCUGGUCACAAGACAGCAUUUAUCUUCCUGAGCUAAAGGCUGAGCCAAGGCAUUUAUCUCUAGGAGCUAAAACAAAGUCUUCAUGUUCACAAAAUCAACCUCCAUUACAUCAACCUCCCCAAAAAUACAACUUCUGGUCACAUGACUCCAGUCCUCUCUCUCUGACUCUCUCUCUCUCUCUCUGACUCUCUCUCUCUCUCUGACUGACUGUCUCUCUCGCUCGCUCUCUCUCUCUCUCUCUGACUCUCUCUCUGACUGACUCUCCCUCUGACUCUCUCUCUCCCUCUGACCCUCUCUCUGACCCUCUCUCUCUCUGACUCUCUCUCUCUCUGACUCUCUCUCUCUCUGACUCUCUCCUGACCCAAUCUGAGAGGACGGGUAGAGGAGGCUAGUUAAUAACACCAGGGGUUGUACCGCCCUGGGGGAGAAGUCGGCCCUAACCACAGCUCUAGGAUCAGCCCCCCCCUCCUCUUAAAGCAAAGGAGGGGAAACAUAUAACUGGUUCAAGGUCAGCGUCUGUCAGCCCCGCGUGUGUAAAUAUAACUGGAUGUUUUUCAACUCUGCUUUUAUCUUCCUGAGUCUCGAUCAUUCGCCUCGAGAACAGCCAUGGUCAAAACGGAGGGGGGCUGAAUAUUAAAUUAGAACAGCCAUGGUCAGAACAGAGGGAGGGGCUGAAUAUUAAAUUAGAACAGCCAUGGUCAAAACGGAGGGAGGAGGGGCUGAAUAUUAAAUUAGAACAGCCAUGGUCAGAACGGAGGGGGGCUGAAUAUUAAAUUAGAACAGCCAUGGUCAGAACGGAGGGAGGGGCUGAAUAUUAAAUUAGAACAGCCAUGGUCAGAACGGAGGGAGGGGCUGAAUAUUAAAUUAGAAGAGCCAUGGUCAGAACAGAGGGAGGGGGAUAGUAAAUUAUAGAACAGCCAUGGUCAGAACAGAGGGAGGGGCUGAAUAUUAAAUUAGAACAGCCAUGGUCAGAACAGAGGGAGGGGCUGAAUAUUAAAUUAGAAGAGCCAUGGUCAGAACGGAGGGAGGAGGGGCUGAAUAUUAAAUUAGAACAGCCAUGGUCAGAACGGAGGGGGGCUGAAUAUUAAAUUAGAACAGCCAUGGUCAGAACAGAGGGAGGGGGAUAUUAAAUUAGAACAGCCAUGGUCAGAACGGAGGGAGGGGCUGAAUAUUAAAUUAGAAGAGCCAUGGUCAGAACGGAGGGAGGAGGUGAAUAUUAAAUUAGAACAGCCAUGGUCAGAACGGAGGGAGGGACUGAAUAUUAAAUUAGAACAGCCAGGGUCAGAACGGAGGGAGGGACUGAAUAUUAAAUUAGAACAGCCAUGGUCAGAACGGAGGGAGGGACUGAAUAUUAAAUUAGAACAGCCAUGGUCAGAACGGAGGGAGGAGGUGAAUAUUAAAUUAGAACAGCCAUGGUCAGAACGGAGGGAGGGGCUGAAUAUUAAAUUAGAACAGCCAUGGUCAGAACAGAGGGAGGUGAAUAUUAAAUUAGAACAGCCAUGGUCAGAACGGAGGGAGGGGCUGAAUAUUAAAUUAGAACAGCCAUGGUCAGAACGGAGGGAGGGACUGAAUAUUAAAUUAGAAGAGCCAUGGUCAGAACGGAGGGAGGUGAAUAUUAAAUUAGAACAGCCAUGGUCAGAACGGAGGGAGGGGCUGAAUAUUAAAUUAGAACAGCCAUGGUCAGAACGGAGGGAGGGACUGAAUAUUAAAUUAGAAGAGCCAUGGUCAGAACGGAGGGAGGUGAAUAUUAAAUUAGAACAGCCAUGGUCAGAACGGAGGGAGGGGCUGAAUAUUAAAUUAGAACAGCCAUGGUCAGAACGGAGGGAGGGACCAUACUACUCUUCCUGUUCUGUUGUUUUUACUUUCGCCUGUGAGCAUCGACAGACCAGAGUGGUUUCUGGGCCCCGCUGCAAGAGAGUGUGUGUGUGUUGUAUAUACUCUGCUGUGUGGGUGUGUGUGUGUGUGUGUUGUAUAUCUACUCGUGUGUUGACAGUAUGAAACGUGGUGGUCUGUGGGAAUGUGGCGGUCUGUGGGAAUGUGGCGGUCUGUGGGAAUGUGGCGUGUUUGCAGUGAUGCAUCUAUGGACAUCCUCUCAGAAUAAAUAAAUGUUCUAUACAAACUGUUCCCCUCGACUCUUUUACUACUGUCUGUCUGUCUGUCUGCCUGUCUGCCUGUCUGUGUACAGUUGAAGUCUGUAAACAUCCACUUAGGUUGGAGUCAUUAAAACUUGUUUUUCAGCCAUUCCACAAAUUUCUUGUUAACAAACUAUAGUUUUGGCAAGUCGGUUAGGACAUCUACUUUGUGCAUGACACAAGUCAUUUUUCCAACAAUUGUUUACAG
RNAcentral lists this long non-coding RNA (3203 nucleotides) under Salmo salar (Atlantic salmon). RNAcentral describes it as "lncRNA (ENSSSAG00000108307.1)". The record is from RNAcentral. Lineage: Eukaryota; Metazoa; Chordata; Actinopteri; Salmoniformes; Salmonidae.